This 253-nucleotide ribosomal RNA is filed under the name uncultured bacterium. RNAcentral's name for it is "partial 16S ribosomal RNA". It matches the Rfam family "Bacterial small subunit ribosomal RNA", at positions 524 to 776 of the family's 1533-position model. The record is from RNAcentral.
UACGUAGGGGGCGAGCGUUGUCCGGAUUUAUUGGGCGUAAAGAGCGUGUAGGCGGCCAGGUAGGUCUGCUGUGAAAACUCGAGGCUCAACCUCGAGACGUCGGCGGAAACCAUCUGGCUAGAGUCCGGAAGAGGAGAGUGGAAUUCCUGGUGUAGCGGUGAAAUGCGCAGAUAUCAGGAGGAACACCGGUGGCGAAGGCGGUUCUCUGGGACGGUACUGACGCUGAGACGCGAAAGCGUGGGGAGCGAACAGG